RNAcentral lists this ribosomal RNA (497 nucleotides) under uncultured bacterium. RNAcentral describes it as "partial 16S ribosomal RNA". It matches the Rfam family "Bacterial small subunit ribosomal RNA", at positions 28 to 507 of the family's 1533-position model. The record is from RNAcentral.
GAUGAACGCUGGCGGCGUGCCUAAUACAUGCAAGUCGAGCGAACAGACGAGGAGCUUGCUCCUUUGACGUUAGCGGCGGACGGGUGAGUAACACGUGGGUAACCUACCUAUAAGACUGGGAUAACUUCGGGAAACCGGAGCUAAUACCGGAUAAUAUUUCGAACCGCAUGGUUCGAUAGUGAAAGAUGGCUUUGCUAUCACUUAUAGAUGGACCUGCGCCGUAUUAGCUAGUUGGUAAGGUAACGGCUUACCAAGGGAACGAUACGUAGCCGAGCUGAGAGGGUGAUAGGCCGCACUGGAACGGAGACACGGUCCAGACUACUACGGGAGGCAGCAGUAGGGAAUCUUCCGCAAUGGGCGAAAGCCUGACGGAGUAACGCCGAGUGAGUGAUGAAGGUCUUCGGAUCGUAAAACUCUGUUACUAGGGAAGAACAAACGUGUAAGUAACUGUGCACGUCGUGACGGUACCUAAUCAGGAAGCCACGGCUAACUACGUG